Long non-coding RNA from Ipomoea nil (Japanese morning glory), 721 nucleotides. RefSeq lists it as uncharacterized. The transcript has 4 exons. NCBI's taxonomy places the organism in Eukaryota, Viridiplantae, Streptophyta, Magnoliopsida, Solanales, Convolvulaceae. The record is from RefSeq and is a predicted model, not a curated record.
UCAGCUUAGACUGCCUCAUCAUAGCCGGUCGGCGUUCUUCGUACAACAUAAGUCGCCAGCGGGUCAUCUCUAUCGCAGCGGCGUUCUUCGUACAGCAGAGGUUGUUGCCGCCGGGUCGUCUCCAUCGCAGCGACUUUCUUCGUACAACAGAGGGUGUCGCCGGCUCAUCUCCUUCGCAGCACGCAGUCCGCAAGUCUCCAAGGUCAGAGGCCAUUCUUCUUUAAGGUCGCCGGUCGUUCUUCUGGUACUUUCUAUUUGGAAUAAAUUGUUUGCUUGCAGGCUCUGCUACAUUCUUCUUUUCCUACAUGGGUUUUGAUAUUAUUGCCACACUUUUAAGGAGAUACUAGAUACAAAUCCACAGCUCUUUUUUCACCUCCAACAGCAAAGGUUGACAGAACUGAUAUGGCAUCACAAAGUGGAAGAUGCUUUAGAGUUUGCUCAUGAAGAACUUGCUCCAAGACUGGACAAUGAUAUUGCUGGCGUUUGAAGAUGUUGAGAACUGCCCUCUUAGAGAGCUUGUAGAUAUGUCACAGCGUCUCAAGACAACAAGUGAGGUCAAUGCUUCAAAAUUCUCAUUAGUCAAAGCCAUGAGAAAGGUCCAUCUUUCAUCCAUCAAAGAGCAUCACAAAAAGGACUAUGCUAUAGACUGUGUAUUAGUAUAUUUGGUACCAUUUUUAAUGAUGUAAAACUUUACAAUUUUUUACUUUUAUUUUUGUUAUUG